This 72-nucleotide transfer RNA is filed under the name Nippostrongylus brasiliensis. It matches the Rfam family "tRNA". From Rfam's summary of the family: Transfer RNA (tRNA) molecules are approximately 80 nucleotides in length. Their secondary structure includes four short double-helical elements and three loops (D, anti-codon, and T loops). Lineage: Eukaryota; Metazoa; Nematoda; Chromadorea; Rhabditida; Heligmosomidae. The record is from Rfam by way of RNAcentral.
GUCUCAGUAGCACAGUGGUUAGUGCACAGCCUGUGAUAUGUUUAGAUGCGGGUUCGAUUCCCGCCUGAGGAG